AAAUUGAAGAGUUUGAUCAUGGCUCAGAUUGAACGCUGGCGGCAGGCCUAACACAUGCAAGUCGAACGGUAACAGGAAGCAGCUUGCUGCUUUGCUGACGAGUGGCGGACGGGUGAGUAAUGUCUGGGAAACUGCCUGAUGGAGGGGGAUAACUACUGGAAGCGGUGGCUAAUACCGCAUAACGUCGCAAGACCAAAGAGGGGGACCUUCGGGCCUCUUGCCAUCAGAUGUGCCCAGAUGGGAUUAGCU
This 249-nucleotide ribosomal RNA is filed under the name Salmonella enterica subsp. enterica serovar Newport. RNAcentral's name for it is "partial 16S ribosomal RNA". It matches the Rfam family "Bacterial small subunit ribosomal RNA", at positions 1 to 246 of the family's 1533-position model. The record is from RNAcentral. Lineage: Bacteria; Pseudomonadati; Pseudomonadota; Gammaproteobacteria; Enterobacterales; Enterobacteriaceae.